CCCCUUCGGAAUCUGCUUUCCUUUCUCACGGACUUACCUUUUGAACAUGCGUGUACCAAAUGGUAUUUUAUAAGUCGUAGUCUUCUCGUAUCAAAACGAGUCCUGGCCGCCAGCAGAACGUCUGAUCAGCCUAGGUGAUCGGCCUGCCCAGAGAGAGCUGCUGUCAUUUCCACUUGAGGAUGCGUGUGGGCUUGGUCACUUUGUGCAGCCUGGUGGUGUGAGUGAGGUCUCAGCCUUAGGUGGGCUUCUGAAGGGUGACCUAUGACUCCUCUCUUCUCUGAGAGUACCUGGGUGGAGCGUACUGGGGUCCCAGGAUGAUGGAUGAUGGGCCACUUUCUACUGGGGCGGGCAGUGAAGACUUCAUCUGGAGGUGCUUGUCUUAUCCGCAGGGACUGUCUGUCUCAACCACGUGAGCAGCGUUAAGGCCGCUCUGCAGCUCUUUGUGCGGAUGCAGCUAUUAUUCAUCCCGAUGGGGCCAGCGGCGUUUCUAUGCCUCCAAAAGGUCUUCUGGCUCUUAGUUGCCUCCAUGGAUUUCUGAGGUUAUCUCUAGCCUUUGUUUCCAAAAUUG
This 568-nucleotide long non-coding RNA is filed under the name Homo sapiens (human). Its description in RNAcentral is "non-protein coding lnc-GRAMD4-4:2". Lineage: Eukaryota; Metazoa; Chordata; Mammalia; Primates; Hominidae. The record is from RNAcentral.